AACGAACGCUGGCGGCAUGCCUAACACAUGCAAGUCGAACGAGACCUUCGGGUCUAGUGGCGCACGGGUGCGUAACGCGUGGGAACCUGCCCUUAGGUUCGGAAUAACUCCCCGAAAGGGGUGCUAAUACCGGAUAAUGUCUUCGGACCAAAGAUUUAUCGCCUUUGGAUGGGCCCGCGUUGGAUUAGCUAGUUGGUAGGGUAAAAGCCUACCAAGGCGACGAUCCAUAGCUGGUCUGAGAGGAUGAUCAGCCACACUGGGACUGAGACACGGCCCAGACUCCUACGGGAGGCAGCAGUGGGGAAUAUUGGACACUGGGCGAAAGCCUGAUCCAGCAAUGCCGCGUGAGUGAUGAAGGCCUUAGGGUUGUAAAGCUCUUUUACCCGGAUGAUAAUGACAGUACCGGGAGAAUAAGCUCCGGCUAACUCCGUG
Molecule: ribosomal RNA, 432 nt
Filed under: uncultured bacterium
Lineage: Bacteria
Description: partial 16S ribosomal RNA
Rfam family: Bacterial small subunit ribosomal RNA
Source: RNAcentral